GAUGAACGCUGGCGGCGUGCGUAAUACAUGCAAGUCGAACGCACAGCGAAAGGUGCUUGCACCUUUCAAGUGAGUGGCGAACGGGUGAGUAACACGUGGACAACCUGCCUCAAGGCUGGGGAUAACAUUUGGAAACAGAUGCUAAUACCGAAUAAAACUCAGUGUCGCAUGACACAAAGUUAAAAGGCGCUUUGGCGUCACCUAGAGAUGGAUCCGCGGUGCAUUAGUUAGUUGGUGGGGUAAAGGCCUACCAAGACAAUGAUGCAUAGCCGAGUUGAGAGACUGAUCGGCCACAUUGGGACUGAGACACGGCCCAAACUCCUACGGGAGGCUGCAGUAGGGAAUCUUCCACAAUGGGCGAAAGCCUGAUGGAGCAACGCCGCGUGUGUGAUGAAGGCUUUCGGGUCGUAAAGCACUGUUGUAUGGGAAGAACAGCUAGAAUAGGGAAUGAUUUUAGUUUGACGGUACCAUACCAGAAAGGGACGGCUAAAUACGUGCCAGCAGCCGCGGUAAUACGUAUGUCCCGAGCGUUAUCCGGAUUUAUUGGGCGUAAAGCGAGCGCAGACGGUUGAUUAAGUCUGAUGUGAAAGCCCGGAGCUCAACUCCGGAAUGGCAUUGGAAACUGGUUAACUUGAGUGCAGUAGAGGUAAGUGGAACUCCAUGUGUAGCGGUGGAAUGCGUAGAUAUAUGGAAGAACACCAGUGGCGAAGGCGGCUUACUGGACUGUAACUGACGUUGAGGCUCGAAAGUGUGGGUAGCAAACAGGAUUAGAUACCCUGGUAGUCCACACCGUAAACGAUGAACACUAGGUGUUAGGAGGUUUCCGCCUCUUAGUGCCGAAGCUAACGCAUUAAGUG
This 857-nucleotide ribosomal RNA is filed under the name Leuconostoc pseudomesenteroides. RNAcentral describes it as "bacterial SSU rRNA". It matches the Rfam family "Bacterial small subunit ribosomal RNA", at positions 28 to 866 of the family's 1533-position model. Lineage: Bacteria; Bacillati; Bacillota; Bacilli; Lactobacillales; Lactobacillaceae. The record is from RNAcentral.